UACGUAGGGUGCAAGCGUUGUCCGGAAUUAUUGGGCGUAAAGAGCUCGUAGGCGGUUUGUCGCGUCGGCUGUGAAAUCCCGAGGCUCAACCUCGGGUCUGCAGUCGAUACGAGCAGGCUGGAGUUCGGUAGGGGAGACUGGAAUUCCUGGUGUAGCGGUGAAAUGCGCAGAUAUCAGGAGGAACACCGGUGGCGAAGGCGGGUCUCUGGGCCGAUACUGACGCUGAGGAGCGAAAGCGUGGGGAGCGAACAGG
Molecule: ribosomal RNA, 253 nt
Filed under: uncultured bacterium
Lineage: Bacteria
Description: partial 16S ribosomal RNA
Rfam family: Bacterial small subunit ribosomal RNA
Source: RNAcentral